RNAcentral lists this transfer RNA (73 nucleotides) under archaeon. RNAcentral describes it as "tRNA-Met". It matches the Rfam family "tRNA". Rfam says of the family: Transfer RNA (tRNA) molecules are approximately 80 nucleotides in length. The record is from RNAcentral.
GGCUGUGUAACUCAGUGGUUAGAGUGCUGCUCUCAUAAGGCAGAUGUCGCGGGUUCAACUCCCGCCACAGCCA